Molecule: long non-coding RNA, 1402 nt
Organism: Aplysia californica (California sea hare)
Lineage: Eukaryota; Metazoa; Mollusca; Gastropoda; Aplysiida; Aplysiidae
Exons: 2
Source: RefSeq, a predicted model, not a curated record
UUGUGGAUGCAAGAAAUCUUUUUCUUCACUCGGAAUAUGCAAUCACGUCUUGUCGAAAUCAAUCACUCAAGGGGAACAAUAGCCGUUACCAAGUGGCGUCAUAUUGUCACGUGACUGUGCUGGUUCCUAAGAGAAUUUCUUCGGCGCUGAACAACGAUUCUUGUUUGGCUCUCAACUUGCUUUGUAAACUACAUUGAUUGCGGCCGAUGUUUGGGUUGAAAUCGCCGUACUCGGCAGAUGACGGACAAUGAGUGCUAAUAAACUCAAUAGACGUCAUCACGAAAAGCUACUACAAUACAACAGCCUCAUCUAGAUGCUGAAGAAACGGAAGGCAAUGGAAUCAGUCGCCUAAAUGUCACAGACCCAAACUUUACAGAAAGGUGUAGUGGCGUAGAUACAGAACAUCCCAAAGUAGCCCAUGCGUCGUAUCUGAUUAAAUCAGAGAAUUCCAAAAAGUAUACAACCACGCCUGAGAUCCCGAAGAAUUCGAAAAUCCAUCCAUGGAAGAUGUAGGACUAACCAAAGCUGUUUCUAAGUAUCGCUCGGACAUAAUAAUACUAAUAUUUAUAACAAUAAUACUGAUUAAGGGACCGUUCUUUGACGAAACGUUCUAAAGAGCCCAGCUUCGUCUAAAUAAAUUUGUCCGUUUCUAAAGUAAAAACAAAGAUUUUCUUGUAAAAUCUGUGUAUUUGAAUUUUCUGCUGUUAUAAUUGAAUAACCAGUCCCAAAAAAGCACAUUAUGUUAUACUGUAGUGUCUUAGCAUGUUUUCAAUUUGACAAGUUUGUGGAAGUUCAUGUUUUGACACAGAGUCUAGUCGAAUAUUGUCUUGCUUACCAGCCACCAGUUCUGAUAAAAGUAUACUGGGGAGAAUAAAUAAUAAGGACGGGAUGCAAUAUCGCAUCAGAAUGCAUUACUUCAUAAACAGUCUGUCUUUUCGGUUAUCGAACUAAUGUCUUCUGCGAGCAGUUGCAAAGACCCUUUAACCGCUACACCAGAGUCGUUGGUCCUCGAGUCCAUUGACUUUGGGAUUUAUAGCAGUAAACAGGGUAUCGGAGGAGGGAUUUGUGGUCCACCUUUGUAGCAACCAGAUCUAUGUGUUGUUGGUUUCUAAAAGGAAAAGUUGGUAUACUGCAAGGAGAAAGAAAAGAUUCUAAAACAUCUCUCUCUGUAUGUCUUUUUCCUUCUCACUAUCUCAUUCACUCUGUCUGUCUGUCUGUCUGUCUGUCUGUCUGUCUGUCUGUCUGUCUGUCUGUCUGAAAUAAAGAGACAUUUGAGUUAGAUAUAAACCCCCAAAAAAAGAGAAAUAGAAAAAAGAGACAGUAACAAAUGAAGAAUGAGACAAAUAGAGAUUGGAAGACAGUGUGUGUGUAUGUGACUGUGAGAAAGAGAGAGGGAGAGAGA